Long non-coding RNA from Daphnia pulicaria, 663 nucleotides. RefSeq lists it as uncharacterized. The record is from RefSeq and is a predicted model, not a curated record. The transcript has 2 exons. NCBI's taxonomy places the organism in Eukaryota, Metazoa, Arthropoda, Branchiopoda, Diplostraca, Daphniidae.
CAGAGCUCGGUGUACGUGGUAAAACACACGUCAUUCAUUUGGAUUUUCCGUUUUUUGAAUGACCCGUCUAAUACAAGAACACAGCUGAUGGAGGGAAAACGUGAUUUCAGGAUUUCCUCAUAGUCACACCCACCACGUUCAUCGUAAAAUAAAAAUUACGACGUAGGAAAACAUCACUAAAAGUUGAAAUACUAUACCUCUAUGCUACUGCGGUUCGCUCUGUUUGGUUGUUCGUCAUCCGAAUCUGGAAAUGAAAAUAUUUGAAACAAAUCGGAAUACUGGAAAGAAGACUGUACAAGUGUACAUACCUUGCGGGGAAUCAAUUGGCGAAUAAAAGUCAUCGAGAUUAUGGCUGCGGACGGAAGGGGCCUGAUUUUGCAGCAAAGGUGCGCGUUCAUCAUCAGAUGAGAUAGCUAUUGUAGAGCAACAAGUUUGUAAAGCUUAAAAUGUCAAUUAGUAAACACUAUAAUAGUAUACCUCUGAAAAAAUCACGGGCAAGGGAUUCUUGGGGCAGGACUCGAAAAUCAAGAAACCAAGCUUCACCCCAUGACAAAACAAAAGAACUCAGAACAAGAAAAACAUCUAGCGUAUAGUUGGUGGCAUUAGCCCACUACGAAAAAAAAAAGGUGUAAAAUUAAAUGAUUGCACACACGCGACGAAAAA